This 492-nucleotide ribosomal RNA is filed under the name uncultured bacterium. RNAcentral describes it as "partial 16S ribosomal RNA". It matches the Rfam family "Bacterial small subunit ribosomal RNA", at positions 29 to 507 of the family's 1533-position model. The record is from RNAcentral.
AGUGAACGCUGGCGGUAGGCCUAACACAUGCAAGUCGAACGGCAGCACAGUAAGAGCUUGCUCUUACGGGUGGCGAGUGGCGGACGGGUGCGGAAUACAUCGGAAUCUACUUUUUCGUGGGGGAUAACGUAGGGAAACUUACGCUAAUACCGCAUACGCCCUACGGGUGAAAGCAGGGGAUCUUCGGACCUUGCGCGAUCGAAUGAGCCGAUGUCGGAUUAGCUAGUUGGCGGGGUAAAGGCCCACCAAGGCGACGAUCCGUAGCUGGUCUGAGAGGAGGAGAAGCCACACUGGAAUUGAGGCACGGUCCGGACUCCUACGGGAGGGAGAAGUGGGGAAUACUGGAGAAUGGGAGCAAUCCUGAUCCAGGCAUACCGCGUGGGUGAAGAAGGCCGUCGGGUUGUAAAGCCCUUUUGUUGGGAAAGAAAAGCAGCAGGUUAAGACCCCGCUGUUCUGACGGUACCCAAAGAAUAAGCACCGGCUAACUUCGUG